UCAUCUCCGGGGGUAGAGCACUGUUUCGGCAAGGGGGUCAUCCCGACUUACCAACCCGAUGCAAACUGCGAAUACCGGAGAAUGUUAUCACGGGAGACACACGGCGGGUGCUAACGUCCGUCGUGAAGAGGGAAACAACCCAGACCGCCAGCUAAGGUCCCAAAGUCAUGGUUAAGUGGGAAACGAUGUGGGAAGGCCCAGACAGCCAGGAUGUUGGCUUAGAAGCAGCCAUCAUUUAAAGAAAGCGUAAUAGCUCACUGGUCGAGUCGGCCUGCGCGGAAGAUGUAACGGGGCUAAACCAUGCACCGAAGCUGCGGCAGCGACGCUGAUGCGUUGUUGGGUAGGGGAGCGUUCUGUAAGCCUGCGAAGGUGUGCUGUGAGGCAUGCUGGAGGUAUCAGAAGUGCGAAUGCUGACAUAAGUAACGAUAAAGCGGGUGAAAAGCCCGCUCGCCGGAAGACCAAGGGUUCCUGUCCAACGUUAAUCGGGGCAGGGUGAGUCGACCCCUAAGGCGAGGCCGAAAGGCGUAGUCGAUGGGAAACAGGUUAAUAUUCCUGUACUUGGUGUUACUGCGAAGGGGGGACGGAGAAGGCUAUGUUGGCCGGGCGACGGUUGUCCCGGUUUAAGCGUGUAGGCUGGUUUUCCAGGCAAAUCCGGAAAAUCAAGGCUGAGGCGUGAUGACGAGGCACUACGGUGCUGAAGCAACAAAUGCCCUGCUUCCAGGAAAAGCCUCUAAGCAUCAGGUAACAUCAAAUCGUACCCCAAACCGACACAGGUGGUCAGGUAGAGAAUACCAAGGCGCUUGAGAGAACUCGGGUGAAGGAACUAGGCAAAAUGGUGCCGUAACUUCGGGAGAAGGCACGCUGAUAUGUAGGUGAGGUCCCUUGCGGAUGGAGCUGAAAUCAGUCGAAGAUACCAGCUGGCUGCAACUGUUUAUUAAAAACACAGCACUGUGCAAACACGAAAGUGGACGUAUACGGUGUGACGCCUGCCCGGUGCCGGAAGGUUAAUUGAUGGGGUCAGCGCAAGCGAAGCUCUUGAUCGAAGCCCCGGUAAACGGCGGCCGUAACUAUAACGGUCCUAAGGUAGCGAAAUUCCUUGUCGGGUAAGUUCCGACCUGCACGAAUGGCGUAAUGAUGGCCAGGCUGUCUCCACCCGAGACUCAGUGAAAUUGAACUCGCUGUGAAGAUGCAGUGUACCCGCGGCAAGACGGAAAGACCCCGUGAACCUUUACUAUAGCUUGACACUGAACAUUGAGCCUUGAUGUGUAGGAUAGGUGGGAGGCUUGGAAGUGUGGACGCCAGUCUGCAUGGAGCCGACCUUGAAAUACCACCCUUUAAUGUUUGAUGUUCUAACGUUGACCCGUAAUCCGGGUUGCGGACAGUGUCUGGUGGGUAGUUUGACUGGGGCGGUCUCCUCCUAAAGAGUAACGGAGGAGCACGAAGGUUGGCUAAUCCUGGUCGGACAUCAGGAGGUUAGUGCAAUGGCAUAAGCCAGCUUGACUGCGAGCGUGACGGCGCGAGCAGGUGCGAAAGCAGGUCAUAGUGAUCCGGUGGUUCUGAAUGGAAGGGCCAUCGCUCAACGGAUAAAAGGUACUCCGGGGAUAACAGGCUGAUACCGCCCAAGAGUUCAUAUCGACGGCGGUGUUUGGCACCUCGAUGUCGGCUCAUCACAUCCUGGGGCUGAAGUAGGUCCCAAGGGUAUGGCUGUUCGCCAUUUAAAGUGGUACGCGAGCUGGGUUUAGAACGUCGUGAGACAGUUCGGUCCCUAUCUGCCGUGGGCGCUGGAGAACUGAGGGGGGCUGCUCCUAGUACGAGAGGACCGGAGUGGACGCAUCACUGGUGUUCGGGUUGUCAUGCCAAUGGCACUGCCCGGUAGCUAAAUGCGGAAGAGAUAAGUGCUGAAAGCAUCUAAGCACGAAACUUGCCCCGAGAUGAGUUCUCCCUGACCCUUUAAGGGUCCUGAAGGAACGUUGAAGACGACGACGUUGAUAGGCCGGGUGUGUAAGCGCAGCGAUGCGUUGAGCUAACCGGUACUAAUGAACCGUGAGGCUUAACCUU
RNAcentral lists this ribosomal RNA (2058 nucleotides) under Escherichia coli UMEA 3318-1. RNAcentral's name for it is "bacterial LSU rRNA". It matches the Rfam family "Bacterial large subunit ribosomal RNA", at positions 890 to 2925 of the family's 2925-position model. The record is from RNAcentral. Lineage: Bacteria; Pseudomonadati; Pseudomonadota; Gammaproteobacteria; Enterobacterales; Enterobacteriaceae.